UGAAUACGAGACGCUAAGGCGUCGAAGUAGUGUAUGUCAUACUUCCAAGAAAAGCUUGCACUGUCAUAGAUAAAAAACGCCUGUACCGUAACCGACACAGGUGGGUAGGUAGAGUAUACUAAGGGGCGCGAGAUAACUCUCUCUAAGGAACUCGGCAAAAUAACUCCGUAACUUCGGGAGAAGGAGUGCCUUAUUCGUAAGGUUGCAAUAACAAGAUCCAAGCAACUGUUUAUCAAAAACACAGGUCUCCGCUAAGUCGUAAGACGAUGUAUGGGGGCUGACGCCUGCCCAGUGCCAGAAGGUUAAAGAAGUUGGUUAGCAAUUGCGAAGCUGAUAACUGAAGCCCUGGUGAACGGCGGCCGUAACAAUAACGGUCCUAAGGUAGCGAAAUUCCUUGUCGGGUAAGUUCCGACCCGCACGAAAGGCGUAAUGAUUUGGAUACUGUCUCGGAGAGGGGCUCGGUGAAAUAGACUUGUCUGUGAAGAUGCGGACUACCUGCACCUGGACAGAAAGACCCUAUGAAGCUUUACCGUAACUUGAAAUUGAAAUUGGACUUUAUUCGCGCAGUAUAGGUGGGAGGCGUUGAUUAUAAUCUUGUGGGAUUAUUGGAGCCAUCAGUGAGAUACCACUCUUGUAAUGUUAGAUUUCUAACUUUGAAUCAUUAUCUGGUCAAAGAACAGUUUCAGGCGGGCAGUUUGACUGGGGCGGUCGCCUCCUAAACGGUAACGGAGGCGUACAAAGGUUUCCUCUGAACGGUUAGAAAUCGUAUCUAGAGUGUAAAGGCAUAAGGAAGCUUAACUGUGAGACCUACAAGUCGAGCAGGGACGAAAGUCGGUCUUAGUGAUCUGACGGUACUGAGUGGAAAGGCCGUCACUCAACGGAUAAAAGUUACUCUAAGGAUAACAGGCUGAUCUCCCCCAAGAGUUCACAUCGACGGGGAGGUUUGGCACCUCGAUGUCGGCUCAUCGCAUCCUGGGGCGGUAGUACGUCCCAAGGGUUGGGCUGUUCGCCCAUGAAAGCGGUACGCGAGCUGGGUUCAGAACGUCGUGAGACAGUUCGGUCCAUAUCCGGUGUAGGCGUUAGAAUAUUGAGAGGAGCCUUCUUUAGUACGAGAGGACCGAGAAGGACAUACCUCUGGUGUACCAGUUAUCGUGCCAACGGUAAACGCUGGGUAGCUAUGUAUGGAGUGGAUAACCGCUGAAAGCAUCUAAGUGGGAAGCCCACCUCAAGAUAAG
RNAcentral lists this ribosomal RNA (1235 nucleotides) under metagenome. RNAcentral's name for it is "bacterial LSU rRNA". It matches the Rfam family "Bacterial large subunit ribosomal RNA", at positions 1564 to 2808 of the family's 2925-position model. The record is from RNAcentral.